RNAcentral lists this ribosomal RNA (492 nucleotides) under uncultured bacterium. RNAcentral's name for it is "partial 16S ribosomal RNA". It matches the Rfam family "Bacterial small subunit ribosomal RNA", at positions 28 to 507 of the family's 1533-position model. The record is from RNAcentral.
GAUGAACGCUAGCUACAGGCUUAACACAUGCAAGUCGAGGGGAAACGACAUCGAAAGCUUGCUUUUGAUGGGCGUCGACCGGCGCACGGGUGAGUAACGCGUAUCCAACCUGCCCAUCACUUGGGAAUAACCUUGCGAAAGUAAGACUAAUACCCAAUGACAUCCCACGAAGACAUCUGAAUGGGAUUAAAGAUUUAUCGGUGAUGGAUGGGGAUGCGUCUGAUUAGCUUGUUGGCGGGGUAACGGCCCACCAAGGCAACGAUCAGUAGGGGUUCUGAGAGGAAGGUCCCCCACAUUGGAACUGAGACACGGUCCAAACUCCUACGGGAGGCAGCAGUGAGGAAUAUUGGUCAAUGGGCGAGAGCCUGAACCAGCCAAGUAGCGUGCAGGAUGACGGCCCUAUGGGUUGUAAACUGCUUUUAUAAGGGAAUAAAGUGGGUCUCGUGAGACUUUUUGCAUGCACCUUAUGAAUAAGGACCGGCUAAUUCCGUG